Long non-coding RNA from Marmota monax (woodchuck), 1942 nucleotides. RefSeq lists it as uncharacterized. The record is from RefSeq and is a predicted model, not a curated record. The transcript has 4 exons. Lineage: Eukaryota; Metazoa; Chordata; Mammalia; Rodentia; Sciuridae.
GUGACAGGGGAUAUGUUCCUGUUGUUGUCCACGCCCGGGUUUGUGGUAGCUUGUUACAGCACAACUCGGAACCUAGCACACCUCUCCUCUUUGUCCCCUCUCCACGCCCAGAGUUGGGCUGGUGCAGGAAAACAUGUCACUAGCCAGUGGCAACACCCCACCUCCUCACAGCUCACCUGGCCAACCCUGAGCACAGUGCCCUCCAAAGCCAUCCUUGCCUGGAAGAUGACCUCCACUCCUACCAUGGUGGCCUGGGGACAGCUCUCAGCCCCACCAUGGUGGCCUGGGGACAGCUCUCACUCCAGGGGGUAUGAAGCAGGACCUGGGAAGAGGGCUGGCCGGGCUCCAGGAACCAGGGAACAUCUGGAGGCAAAGAAGCCAGGUCCAGGACACUUGAAGCAGGACAGGUGGAUGGGAGGCCUCGAGGUCACAACCAGAACCUCCCACCGUGAGCAACGAGCCGCGGAUUCCUGCUCUGAGCAGCAGCAGUUCUAGGUUCAUGGGGUCCCCAACAUGUGACAUGUGGCUUCUUCAUCUUCCCCCUCCAGUGACUCUCCUCCUCCAUGAGAGCCCUGACGCUACCCAGCUUUAUUCCCAACACCCACCCCCCGAAACCUGCUUCUCUCCGGUCACUGGCUCCACUGUCCACCCGACUCCUCAGACCAAACUCCCGGGGGACUGCCGUGAGAGUCCUUUCUUGGUUCAUCCUCUAAAAUGUUCUGAAUUCAACCAAGUCUCUCUCCUCCAGUCACCCCCCACCUCUCACCCGGACAACCACCUGAAAUCCCCACCCCGACUCCGCCCCGACUCCGCCCCCACUCGGCUCUGGCUUGGAUGUGGCUUGGAUGUGGCUUGUCCUGGCCAAACCUGUGUUGAGGUUCAACGGCCCUUGGGCGUUGGGAGGGUGGCCUGCUUGGGUGGCUAACAGGGGCGAAUGCCUUCCUUGUCGGGGUGAAGUUCCCCAGGACCUCACUCUUUUUGGACUGGGGCGGUUACCUUGAGAGCAGGUUGAUACGCAAGACCACUCCUCCUUCUUUCCUCCUUUUACAUGUGCCUGUUUGUGCUCCUACCUUCUGCCAUGAGUUAAAGAAGUAAGAGGCCUUGUCCAGGACCAUGCACUCAGACCUCCCUGCCCUUAGGACUGACCAUUUGCUGAGAGUCUGGAGAGAAACGGAACCUGGCAACUGUCACCAGAGCCGAGCCACGUCCCUGCCCCUCCCAGAGCUGCCUCCAGUUGGCACAGAUGCCCGCUGUGAUGCUGGCAAGCUGUGCCCCCUCCCACCCCAGCAAGUCACUCGACCUCUCUGAGCCCUGGUCACCUCAGGUGAUAAAGCAGAGGCCCCGCCUGGUACUCACAGCGGCUUGCGGGAGCCCAGCGGCUCCAGGCACAAAGGACGCUCCGACACAGGCGGCCUCUCCCGCCGUUAGCCCAGAGCCCAGCUCGGGACGUUUCUAAAAAUAUGUUUUAUUGGAUUUUUCCUUUUGAGCCCCAGAAGCAAUAUCUAUAUCCCUCCAACAAGCAGAUCAGCAGGGAGACGAGCGGAGAAAACGCAGCCCCCUCCCCUCCUGGGACCUCACGGGCUCCCUGGCCCUUCCCUGUCCCCAGCUCCCCCCCCCCAGGAGGUGGCAGUGCCAGGCUUCCCUCCACGCACUCUCUCUGCAGCCAUCCCUCUGCGAGCGCGUGGCUCACAUUGUACAGAAACCGGCUAAUUCCACGUGCAGCCUCCCGGGGGCUACAGCACAGAGAGGUCCACAUUGCCCCUUGGCCAUGAACCUCAACGCACCCCCAGCUGACGGUCGGUGGGCUGUUCCCAGCCCUUCUCUAACCAGCAGCGCCGCCCUGACCCGUCUGCCCCGUCCUCCAGGAGAGUCCCACAGCGUGGUUCUGGGUCAGAGGGACAGUUCCACUUUGUAUUUUUAAUAACCAUGUGCUGCCAGGUGA